Oncorhynchus keta (chum salmon) is the source of this 2529-nucleotide long non-coding RNA. RefSeq lists it as uncharacterized. The transcript has 2 exons. The record is from RefSeq and is a predicted model, not a curated record. Lineage: Eukaryota; Metazoa; Chordata; Actinopteri; Salmoniformes; Salmonidae.
UUGUAUCAGAGUGGAGGAGGAAGGCUUGUGAACUAUACUGCCAUUGUAUCAGAGUGGAGGGAGGCUUGUGAACUAUACUGCCUUUGUAUCAGAGUGGUGGAGGGAGGCUUGUGAACUAUACUGCCUUUGUAUCAGAGUGGAGGAGGGAGGCUUGUGAACUAUACUGCCUUUGUAUCAGAGUGGAGGAGGGAGGCUUGUGAACUAUACUGCCUUUGUAUCAGAGUGGAGGAGGAAGGCUUGUGAACUAUACUGCCUUUGUAUCAGAGUGGAGGAGGGAGGCUUGUGAACUAUACUGCCUUUGUAUCAGAGUGGUGGAGGAAGGCUUGUGAACUAUACUGCCAUUGUAUCAGAGUGGAGGAGGGAGGCUUGUGAACUAUACUGCCUUUGUAUCAGAGUGGAGGGAGGCUUGUGAACUAUACUGCCUUUGUAUCAGAGUGGAGGGAGGCUUGUGAACUAUACUGCCGUUGUAUCAGAGUGGAGGAGGGAGGCUUGUGAACUAUACUGCCUUUGUAUCAGAGUGGAGGGAGGCUUGUGAACUAUACUGCCGUUGUAUCAGAGUGGAGGAGGGAGGCUUGUGAACUAUACUGCCUUUGUAUCAGAGUGGAGGAGGGAGGCUUGUGAACUAUACUGCCGUUGUAUCAGAGUGGAGGGAGGCUUGUGAACUAUACUGCCGUUGUAUCAGAGUGGAGGAGGGAGGCUUGUGAACUAUACUGCCGUUGUAUCAGAGUGGAGGAGGGAGGCUUGUGAACUAUACUGCCGUUGUAUCAGAGUGGAGGAGGAAGGCUUGUGAACUAUACUGCCGUUGUAUCAGAGUGGAGGAGGGAGGCUUGUGAACUAUACUGCCGUUGUAUCAGAGUGGAGGAGGGAGGCUUGUGAACUAUACUGCCGUUGUAUCAGAGUGGAGGAGGGAGGCUUGUGAACUAUACUGCCUUUGUAUCAGAGUGGAGGAGGGAGGCUUGUGAACUAUACUGCCUUUGUAUCAGAGUGGAGGAGGGAGGCUUGUGAACUAUACUGCCGUUGUAUCAGAGUGGAGGAGGGAGGCUUGUGAACUAUACUGCCUUUGUAUCAGAGUGGAGGAGGGAGGCUUGUGAACUAUACUGCCGUUGUAUCAGAGUGGAGGAGGAAGGCUUGUGAACUAUACUGCCGUUGUAUCAGAGUGGAGGAGGGAGGCUUGUGAACUAUACUGCCGUUGUAUCAGAGUGGAGGAGGGAGGCUUGUGAACUAUACUGCCGUUGUAUCAGAGUGGAGGAGGGAGGCUUGUGAACUAUACUGCCUUUGUAUCAGAGUGGAGGAGGAAGGCUUGUGAACUAUACUGCCGUUGUAUCAGAGUGGAGGAGGGAGGCUUGUGAACUAUACUGCCUUUGUAUCAGAGUGGAGGAGGAAGGCUUGUGAACUAUACUGCCGUUGUAUCAGAGUGGAGGAGGGAGGCUUGUGAACUAUACUGCCUUUGUAUCAGAGUGGAGGAGGGAGGCUUGUGAACUAUACUGCCGUUGUAUCAGAGUGGAGGAGGGACAGUUUAAAACCUAUGACGUCACUUUUAGUUUGUAAACUGUAGUACCAUGAUCAGUACUCUCGAGAAUAAACGCUAUUGAUUGAUUUUGAGACUGGCCUCUGUCCAUUUUAUGUAAAUAAGUAUCUUACAAAUUCUUAGGAAUGGGCAGAGUGUUUAAUUGAAUUGGUUAAAUAAACGUAUAGGAAUAUAAUUCCUUUAACAUGAUCCUGGGACACACCCGGGCCCGCCCCUUGUCACUGACGACUCUCCUGGCUCCGCCCACCGGCAUCCUAAUAAGGAAAACGAGAGCAGAGAGAAAGAAUACAGCAAACAGAGUGGGAGGGUCGUCACAGAUGUCACCCACCUCUACCAUGUCACUCUGAGCUCUAUGUCAGCCUGUUGCUCUGUCAGCCUGCUGCUCUGUCAGCCUGUUGCUCUGUCAGCCUGCUGCUCUGUCAGCCUGUUGCUCUGUCAGCCUGCUGCUCUGUCAGCCUGCUGCUCUGUCAGCCUGCUGCUCUGUCAGCCUGUUGCUCUGUCAGCCUGUUGCUCUGUCAGCCUGCUGCUCUGUCAGCCUGUUGCUCUGUCAGCCUGCUGCUCUGUCAGCCUGCUGCUCUGUCAGCCUGCUGCUCUGUCAGCCUGCUGCUCUGUCAGCCUGUUGCUCUGUCAGCCUGCUGCUCUGUCAGCCUGUUGCUCUGUCAGCCUGUUGCUCUGUCAGCCUGUUGCUCUGUCAGCCUGCUGCUCUGUCAGCCUGUUGCUCUGUCAGCCUGUUGCUCUGUCAGCCUGUUGCUCUGUCAGCCUGUUGCUCUGUCCCCAUAUAUACAGGGUUGGAACUAAGCAUUGUAACUCUGCCUAACAACACAUUUGUACAUACCAACGUCUGGCAUUAUUACAGUUCUAUUUAUUUCAGAUGUCUUUAUGUCAUGUUUAAAAUGAAGAACCUGAGUUUUUACUAUCGUACAUCAGUCCAAGAUCACAUGUCAUGAUGUACAAUUAGUUGUCCAGUCUGUUCGAUAAAAUGAAAUAAAGAUAUUGAAAAA